UAUUAAAUUUACCCAGUUUGGAGACAAUAAAUAUUUAAAAUCUAACCAUAAACUCCAAUGUUCCUGCAUUUUUUUUAGCAGAACAAACACGAGGGCAUUCUCGUCUCUGUUAUAAUCAAUAGUUAACUCAUUUCUUCUUCUAGGUUAUUUCUUAAUCAAUUAUGAUUAUCAGCUGUCUAUCUAUUUACCAUGUUUAUGUUAAACUGGUCCG
Molecule: long non-coding RNA, 211 nt
Filed under: Mytilus galloprovincialis (Mediterranean mussel)
Lineage: Eukaryota; Metazoa; Mollusca; Bivalvia; Mytilida; Mytilidae
Source: RNAcentral